RNAcentral lists this ribosomal RNA (427 nucleotides) under uncultured prokaryote. RNAcentral describes it as "bacterial SSU rRNA". It matches the Rfam family "Bacterial small subunit ribosomal RNA", at positions 355 to 774 of the family's 1533-position model. The record is from RNAcentral.
CUAAGAAUAUUCCGCAAUGGACGAAAGUCUGACGGAGCGACGCCGCGUGGAUGACGAAGGCCGAAAGGUUGUAAAAUCCUUUUGUUGGGGAAGAAUAAGCGUGGGAGGGAAUGCCCGCGUGAUGACAUGAACCGACGAAUAAGUCCCGGCUAACUACGUGCCAGCAGCCGCGGUAACACGUAGGGGACAAGCGUUAUUCGGAAUUACUGGGCGUAAAGGGCAUGUAGGCGGCCUUGUAAGCCUGGCGGGAAAGUCAUCGGCUUAACCGGUGGAUUGCGUUAGGAACUGCAGGGCUUGAGUCAUGGAGAGGAAGGCAGAAUUCCUGGUGUAGGGGUGAAAUCUGUAGAGAUCAGGAAGAAUACCAGUGGCGAAGGCGGCCUUCUGGCCAAUGACUGACGCUGAGGUGCGAAAGUGUGGGGAUCAAACA